This 87-nucleotide transfer RNA is filed under the name Actinomycetales bacterium mxb001. Its description in RNAcentral is "tRNA-Leu". It matches the Rfam family "tRNA". Rfam says of the family: Transfer RNA (tRNA) molecules are approximately 80 nucleotides in length. Their secondary structure includes four short double-helical elements and three loops (D, anti-codon, and T loops). Further hydrogen bonds mediate the characteristic L-shaped molecular structure. tRNAs have two regions of fundamental functional importance: the anti-codon, which is responsible for specific mRNA codon recognition, and the 3' end, to which the tRNAs corresponding amino acid is attached (by aminoacyl-tRNA synthetases). tRNAs cope with the degeneracy of the genetic code in two manners: having more than one tRNA (with a specific anti-codon) for a particular amino acid; and 'wobble' base-pairing, i.e. permitting non-standard base-pairing at the 3rd anti-codon position. The record is from RNAcentral. Lineage: Bacteria; Bacillati; Actinomycetota; Actinomycetes; Actinomycetales. RNAcentral also lists the same sequence under 2 other names.
GUCCGGGUGGCGGAAUUGGCAGACGCGCUAGCUUGAGGUGCUAGUGCCCGCAAGGGCAUGGGGGUUCAAGUCCCCCCUCGGACACCA